GGAACCACUGCCAACAGCACUAGAAUUUGAAGAGAAGUUGAGACCCUAUACAUGCUCCGAUGUUUUAUCUUGUCGGUGUUGCUAACAAUCGCUUGUGCUGUAUCUGCAAUAGUUGUGAUUGACAUCAAAAUUUUCCAUCGAUUGUACGUACCAGUAUGGAAAAUCUUGGUCAAGUAUUUGUUUGUGGUCUCCUUAGGUACAAUAUCU
Molecule: unclassified non-coding RNA, 207 nt
Filed under: Hevea brasiliensis (rubber tree)
Lineage: Eukaryota; Viridiplantae; Streptophyta; Magnoliopsida; Malpighiales; Euphorbiaceae
Source: RNAcentral